RNAcentral lists this ribosomal RNA (479 nucleotides) under uncultured Flavobacterium sp. RNAcentral's name for it is "bacterial SSU rRNA". It matches the Rfam family "Bacterial small subunit ribosomal RNA", at positions 46 to 526 of the family's 1533-position model. The record is from RNAcentral. Lineage: Bacteria; Pseudomonadati; Bacteroidota; Flavobacteriia; Flavobacteriales; Flavobacteriaceae.
GCUUAACACAUGCAAGUCGAGGGGUAUAGUUCUUCGGAACUAGAGACCGGCGCACGGGUGCGUAACGCGUAUGCAAUCUACCUUAUACAGGGGAAUAGCCCAGAGAAAUUUGGAUUAAUGCCCCAUAGUAUUACGAAACGGCAUCGUUUUGUGAUUAAAGUUCCAACGGUAUAAGAUGAGCAUGCGUCCCAUUAGUUAGUUGGUAAGGUAACGGCUUACCAAGGCGAUGAUGGGUAGGGGUCCUGAGAGGGAGAUCCCCCACACUGGUACUGAGACACGGACCAGACUCCUACGGGAGGCAGCAGUGAGGAAUAUUGGUCAAUGGGCGCAAGCCUGAACCAGCCAUGCCGCGUGCAGGAAGAAUCAUCUAUGGUGUGUAAACUGCUUUUAUACAGGAAGAAACCUCCCUACGAGUAGGGACUUGACGGUACUGUAGGAAUAAGGAUCGGCUAACUUCGUGCCAGCAGCCGCGGUAAUAC